This 70-nucleotide transfer RNA is filed under the name Trichomalopsis sarcophagae. Its description in RNAcentral is "tRNA-OTHER". The record is from RNAcentral. Lineage: Eukaryota; Metazoa; Arthropoda; Insecta; Hymenoptera; Pteromalidae.
UAGACGUUAGCUCAGUGGUUAGAGUUUCCGCUUGUUAAUUUCGGGGUCCGCGGUUCAAGCCCACGUCUAC